AUUUUAAUAGUUUAAAUAAAAUAUUGAUCUGUGGAGUCAAGGAUAUGAAGAAAUUCAUUUAAAAUU
RNAcentral lists this transfer RNA (66 nucleotides) under Telchinia serena. Its description in RNAcentral is "Acraea serena tRNA-His". The record is from RNAcentral. Lineage: Eukaryota; Metazoa; Arthropoda; Insecta; Lepidoptera; Nymphalidae.